CCGCCGCAUCCGUGGGGAGCGCGCCUAGGUUCGUCCUGGUCGCCGGUAAUGCUUGCUAGCUGUUCUUGUCGUGUGAUCCUGGUGUGUGCCUGGUGCUUCUGUUUGUCGGUGUCGAUAUGAUGUGUCAUCUGGUCCUAUGUAUGGUGAUGGUCGAAUGAAAUUGCAAUGGAAAGUUCAGUUAUCGAUCUGAUGCUCGAAUGAAUUUAAUUCUGCUUGUAAAUUACUCCGUGAUUCUGCAAUGGUGUUCUUGUCACGUGUACCAAGUUGUUGCCGUGAUGGAAUUAGAAGAUAUGCUGUGUCCCAUGGGCUUCUUGAUUUUGCUGGGGCGCUCUGUUAUUUUUUGUUUGUCGCUGCGUGAUUCAGUUUCUUUGCAUGUUUGUACAGGCAUUUGGUUAACUCAUUUCAGCUUAAGCCUCUGUCUGAUGUGAUUCUGAACUAUGGUAGGGCUAGUUGAUAGCUGAAGGUGAAGUCACGACAUGUGUUGUGAUUCUGAAAUAUGUCUCGUCCGGCCGCCAUGGUUCCAUCCUGUUGAUCCUGAUUGGAUUCGAUCCGUUCUGUUAUUCUAGUCCACCCGUGCUUCGAGUUGUUACUGCUAGGUUCUAGUUGAUGUAAUGGUCGUUUGCUGUUGAUUACCAGUUGGAAAAUUGCAAUGGAAGCUGUCUAUUUUAUCCCCAUUUCUGAGAUCUUAUGAAUUGAAUUCCGUGAUUGGAUGCUUUCUUCGGUGUAUGAUACCAACGAUUUUCUCGUACUGAAUUUUUCUGGGUUGCGCAUCAGAAAUUCUAUUGCAACUGACAAUUACCGUAGGGAUUACGUUUUCUUGUUCAUGUUGGUGUGAUCCGUUUACUGCCAUCCAUUUAAUCUCACAAGUUCACAACAAGUGGUACAUAGGCAAACAAGUUCCCUACCAUUCAUUCUUUUCAGCUGUUAACUGAAAGAUUGUGUAGUUUGGUGGUGUCAGCAACACUGUCUCUGAAUAAACUUGUUGUGAUGCUGGUUACUGUGAGGCUACCUCUGGCAAAGUUUUGAAAGAUCUGUCGGUGGAUCUGAGUAGGAGCCACUCAUCACCGCGGAUGCUAAGUAUUUUCUGCAAGUUUUGUGGCAUGGAUUCUGUCCCAGCUCACAUAAUUCUGCAAUGCUGCUGUUUAAAAUCUUUUGUGUGAUGGUCUAGUUAGGUGUGUCCUUGCAAAUAAGGCGACCACCAAUUUGUUUCCUGCAGUCUGGGAGUACCUGCAUUUGCAUGAUGUAGCCGAUACCAUAUUUUUGGGCAGGCAAAAGGCCCAUCAGAUGCAUUUUAUUUGCAUGAUGUACACUAAGUUUCAGAUUGUUAGGCUUCACAACCAGUUACAUGGAUGCGGAGGCAUGACCGAUAGCCUCUGCAGAAGACUACAGGUAUUGAUAUGAGAAGCAUUCAAAGUUUCAAACAGGUUACAUGUAGAACUGAUUGCUGGGCUGCUCUAGCAAAACCAUCAGCUACUUUGUGUUGAUUCCUGUGAAGAUAAGUGAAUAGCUUUGCAAUAAGCAAUUGUUGGACGAAGUCUCCAGUUCAUUGUUGCCUGUUGUCGUUGUUGAUCAUGUACAGCCCAGGAGAGUUUUUUGGUUGUCCACCAAGAUGCAACAAUGUUGUACCUGCAAAAAAGUUAUGGCAUCCACCCGUAAGAGGAGGCUAAUAGAUUCAGCAUGGGCAGGGGGGAAGCAUUCAGAGAUGGUGGCCUGUAUAUUAAUCUUUGUGUAAUGAGAGGAAGAGUUGAGGCACAAGUGAGACAAGUGUAUUCCUAUGCCUGUGAUUGUAUUAAGCAUCAGUAAAGCAGAGGUUUCCACUCAAGGAGUGAAAACCUCCGCUUUACUCUUUUUUCUUUUUUCUUUUACUCGCAAAAAAAAGUAAAGCAGAGGUUUCCUUGGUUUCAGGAAGAGUGGACGAUAUACAAGUGUAUAACUAUAGACAUGUUUUGUUCAGUGAGAUUAUUCAUUACAUACCACCAAAUCUUCAAAUCUCUGGUUAUAUGAAUGGAAAUCACGAAACUUUCACUCUGAAUCUGCUUCGGUGUUUAAUUUCUUUGCCGCUAGAUCUUUUCUGAGUAAAUAAGACACCCAUUUGGCUGUUAAAGAAAGAGACACCCAGUUGAUUGCUGCAAUCUGGUAGAGCAUUUUGGUGAUGCAGAUUUAUUCUUCUCUUUGGGUGAAUAUUCUAUUUUUUCUUGGGCACUUUUGUGUUUUUUGGGCAUUCAUCCUAGAUAGGCCCGUGUUUUGUAACUUGAGUUCAACUGGGCUUUAAAAAUGUUUGCUUCUUAGAGGCCCACUCUCUAGAGUGCAGAUUCUUCUAUCUUAUCAAGCAGCGGGUGUGGCUAUGCGCCACGCUUAAUGUGGGAGGUCCUAUUUGCAGCUCUUUCAAAGAUAAAAACACAAAAUGCCGCACAAUCGCUUAGGCGAGUGACACGGCUAACCCGUUUAAGCUUCGCUUGCCUUAUUUUCAUUUGGUACGUUUUCUCGUUCCCGUGCAAUUUUAGUCCUUUUCUCAGAAAAUGUUUUUUUAAAAAUGUUCAAGAAUUUAGAGAAAAGCAGGAUAUUAUUUUUUUAGUAAAUUUUAGAAAUGUAUUCAGAAAAUAAAAAGUGUUGUUAACUUUUUAAAAAGUGGCCACAAAUAUUAGAAAAUAGUUCUCCAAAUUUAAAAUCCAAGAAAAUUUCAUAUACUUUUCUCAAUAUUUAUUAAAAAUAAUUUUAAAAUCCCAUUUUUUUAAUUCCGAUUUUAACAAAUGUUGUUAGUUGCAUUCUAACACAAGUAGCUAAAUAUUCCCUCCGUCCCAAAAUAUAAAAACGUUUUUUACACUAGCAUAGUGUCAAAAACGUUCUUAUAUUUCGGGACAAAGGGAGUACUUGUGCGUUGUAACAAAACACGUUUACUCUCUGGAACCUCCUGUGUUGAGCACGAUACGCUCCUCGUGCAGAAGUUUCGAUGAAUGCAUCGCGUGCAGUACUUGUAGGCACCGCCCUGGACCCCUGGUUGUGGUCCAUGCAUGCAUCGUUCUUUUCACGUUCAUCUCCAAAGGAUUAAUUAAAGACAUUUUUUAGUGAGUACAAUAAGUAGUGAUCUAAGUAUUUUUAUUUUUUUUAUGAAGGAGGCAUCUCCAAAGGAUUAAUUAAAGUACUUGUAGGCAUCUCCAAAGGAUUAAUUAAAGUGACGCACGCCUGAACCUGUCGUCGGCCGGCAUUGCUCCCCGUUUGAAUAGUUUAUGGGCCGAUCAAGCGAUAGAUGAUAUGGUGACAACUUAUAGCACACACGUUCCGCCGCGCCGUUUUGUCAGAUCGUUUGUUGUGAGACUCGAUGCACUGCUUGAUUAUUUGGUUCGUUGACACAAACCAAAAUGCAUUCAUUGAUUCAUUUGCACAUGCAAAAAAUGCAGAGUUAGAACACAGGGAAAUUCAAAGAGCAUGUAAACUUCUCUUACCAUGGUGUAUUUUAUAAUGCUAGUACUAAAAGUAUGCAAAAAACUUUUCCAAGUUGUCUUGAACUAUGCCAUCCAUCAACACCAUGGAUCUGAAUCCAUUCUCAAACAAUCUUUGGUCCAUUUGCACUGGAAAUCACCUCACAUAUUAGCUGGUGUAUUUUACUAGCCUACUCAACAACCAAGUACUGUAUGAUCUUUUUCUUCAGCGUUGUUGAAGUUGACUGCCAGCAACACACGCCUUGGCGUUGGAAAAACUCAACGAUCACAUGAUCAACGCCAUAGUCUUUGGCGCUAAGCCGCCAGAUACAAACACGCCGGAUUGCAUAGCAUUGAACCGUGUUACAGCAAUGGGAUCGCCUGCAGGAUGAAUUAAAUUAAAAGUAUACAAAUAAGAGUUAUCCUGAGCACUUGUAGAACAAGCUGAAGGUUGUGGCUUUGGUAUAAGUUGGGGGCGGUGACCCACAUUGCGAAAGGAAAUUAAUGAAGGAUUCUUUCUUAGCCCAUAGCUGCAUUUGUCCCUUUCUUUCUUUUUCCUUUGCUUUUAUGCAUUCCUUCUUGUACAGGCAACCAGGCAUCGGUUCUUCUUACUCCCUCCGUUCCUAAAUACUUGUCUUUUUAGAGAUUUUAACAAGUGACUACAUACGGCGCAAAUACACUUUAAAAUAUGUCUACAUACAUUCGUAUGUUGAGUCCAUUUGAAAUGCCUAGAAAGACAAGUAUUUGGGAACGGAGGGAGUAGAUUUUUGCAUGCUCAUGCCCCACGCUGACAACUUUGACAAGAACUUUGAUAAGCACUAAUGUCUGCCUGCCAUGUAACCUUUAGGAUCCCAGAAAAACCACAUGUUUUGGUCUUUUGGAUGCGCUGAGCAGGCAAAAAAGCCUGGGAAUCAAUAGAGAGCCAGGAGGAUUUUACGAGCCAGCGCAGGAAGAGCGUGAAAGCCUAGUUGACACCAAAGUAGGACUGUAGGAGGGCCAAGCAGCAGGGUUUUGGUGACCAGGGAGGCCGAUGCGCGCGGCAUCGAUCUUCAUGGAGGGCCUGUAUCAGUCAUGUAAAAAUAGCAAAAAGUAAUAGUAAAAUCCAAUGCCAAGGUGUGGGGUUCGUAGCUACCUUCAAUGCCCAGGUGGCAGGCAGUAAGUAGAAGAGUGAGAUAUCCUUGUAGCCCGCACACUUUGUGCGACAUUUUUAUUUUAUUUUACGGAAAGAACUUCCGAUAUAUUCAUCAACUAUCAAGUCAGUACAAAGAACACUAGAGGUAACAUAGAUUACAUUUCAUUAUGCAGUUUCCAUAAUUCUAAGGUUGGCUAUGAUUUCUAUAUGUUUAGAUCGAUGUAGCUAGCCUCUAACCUAAAAGAAUACCUAAUCUUCAUGCUCGAGUAGUUAACGGAACAAAGGGUUUUCUUACUCCCCAAGAAGCAACUCCCAGGUGACUAGCAGCUGUUUCGGGCCAUCCAGCCCAUGGUGACGGACGACAGGAGAAGCGAUGCGGAUGCGGGAUACGUCGUCCACUCACCGGUCACCACCAACCGGGUCACAUGCGCAUCUGCGGCAGCACGCACCGCGUGGGGACGACCCCAUAUGCCCUCACAUAGCAAUGCAGAAAGCUCGUGGCGACGAGGAGGAUGCCAAAGCUACUGCUCACUUCCUUGCGGCUUGAGAGGUCAACACAGACAACACUGGCAUCAUCAUUGUUCAUAUACAGUCCACAAAAAGAAGGUCCUGCUUCUUGGGAGUCGUGCUUGGUCUCCUCCUCGUCUCCGCGAGCUUCGAAACAGAACCCGGGGGGCUUCUGUUCGAGAGGAGCCCUUCUUCCCUGCUGGUUGGACCGGGUGAUGGAUCGUUGUAUUGCCUUUCCUAUCGAUUUUUCAUCUACAAAAACACUUCUGCUUUCUUCUUCUCCACUGGCCCUCUGAAAAUCAUCUCCCUCUUGUUCGUGGAUCGUGAAGAAGGUCCGUAGCCGACGAGUACUGCUUUCUUCUUCACCUUUUGGGUUCCUCGAUUUUGCAUCUUUUGCGUUCCCGGCAUUGGAAUUUCUGUGUCACCCCAGAGUAAUUUCAUGGAAUUUAGCCUCUCUAAUGUUGAUUCAGGACUAGUGUUUUUAGUAUUCCAUUCUACUUUAUUGAUAGAAAAGUUCGUGGACCAUGGUCUGUCCGCUCUUAUUCUUAAUACUAUUGGGUCUAACCUAAGUUAAUAUAGCGAUUUGUAGUGCCCAGUGUAUAGUAAAAGGUCUAGUGUACAGUAAUUGGUCUAGGACAAAGUAGUCUCUUCUCUAUUCUCUUGGCGCUAAUGCUACCAUCUCACUUCGCAGUGGUGAACCACGUGGUCAUCACUAAAAAGAGGACAUGUACUUAGUUCCUAUUUUUGCACAUCAACAGAACUUCCAGUACGAACAUUCAUGAAAAAUAUGGAAAAUAAUAAGAAAAGAAAAUCCAGCAUCAUGUUGGUGUAUGUGUUCAUGUCAAUUUUCACACAAGAGGAAUAUUUUUGUGUCCUCACCAAAUAAAUCUGGUGCCUAAAAUAGAAAGAUUUUGAAUGUUAAACACAAGUCACAAUAUUCAUGUCUUCUCCACUACGAUUUGUUUUCCGUGAUUUUUUUCAAUUAUAUUUCAGUGCAUACAUCGAGGCACAUUAAAAAGAUCUAAAUAAGUCAAGAGAAAUGGAGAUGACAGUGAAUAUUGUUUUAGAGGAUUGUUUUUUGAAACACCUGUGGAAUUCAACAUUUUCGCUGCUUUGUCUGGUAGUAACUAUUUUCUUGUUCAUGAUUGGCGCAGGGCUGCAACGAGACCCGAUCCAGCCUGGAGUGCAAUACAUAUGGGUUCCCUCACAAGUAAAUUCUCUCCUCACUUUCUCUUGUUACUCCCUCCAUGUCACAAAAAUACAUGUCGUUUUGGAUACUAGCACGGUCUUCAAGAUUUAAAUUUUCACCACUAAUUUUUACUAUGGUGUAUAUAUAACUCAAGAAACUGAUUAUAUCAUACAUAUACUUUUCGAGAUCAAUCUGAACAUUUGAUUUGCAAGUUUUUAAUCUCAGACAAUAUAUAUAGUCAAGGUUUUUAAAUUGACUUAAAACACGUCCAGAACGACAUGUAUUUGUAUUUUGUGAUAUGGAGAGAGUACGUAGCUAAAAACUAAAUUAACUUCAUGUUAAAUCAUUUCUUAAACUAUAAUCAUUGUUACCUUUUGACCAUGCACAACUGGAAUCUGGGAAUAAUCUCAUCUCACUAUUGUUGCAACUGCACAUCAGGUUCUUGGGUGAUGGACUUGUGUGGCAGACCAAUAUGCUCCAACCAAGAUGUGGCAUCAUGUGCUUUAAAGGAAAUAUUCAACUCCUCUACCUGCAUUAAUCACCUAGUGGCGACCGGUGUCGUCGCACUGCUCGUGUUUGUGCUCAUGCUCCAGUUGCUAGUCAAAAUUCCAAAUAGCAGAGUGUCCGCGCGACAGCUCGUCUCGCUCAGCUCACUGCUGCACUUCUCCGCCAUGGUGUUCAAUGGCUGCCUGGGUUUGGUUUAUUUCGGGCUAGGACUGUGGAUGCUGGGGACUGGAUUCAAUCAGGAUGCUUCCGUUGUUUACCUUCCACAUUGGUGGCUUGUAACAUUAUCUCAAGGAUUGAAUCUGGUCCUUGCCAGCUUCGCUUUCAGCACCAGGCCUCUGUUUCUUGGGGCAGCGUUUGUUAGAUUUUGGCCGGUCCUGCUGACCAUCUGCGCAGCAUUCAUCUGUUGUUCUUCGGUUGUUAAUAUUGUUGCAGAGAAGACGAUCACCAUUAAGGCUUGUUCAGAUGUUCUGUCCCUACCAGGUGCAGUUCUCCUCCUCCUUUAUGGCAUUCGGCACAGCCAUGAUGAAGAGGGUUAUGGAGGAAGUGGAAAUGGUUUAUACAAGCCCCUGCACACGGAGACAGACAUUGAGGUAGCUGACUCUGAAAGUCAGGUAACUCCCUUUGCUAAAGCUGCUUUUUUCAGCAAGAUGACAUUUUGGUGGUUGAAUCCUCUGAUGAAGAUGGGGUAUGAAAAGCCCCUUGAGGACAAAGACAUGCCACUUUUAGGCGCCACAGAUCGAGCGCGCAACCUGUAUGUGAUGUUCAUGGAGAAGCUCAAUGACAAGAAGCAGCCGCCGUCGCACCCCACACCAUCAUUCUUCUGGACUAUUGUUUCUUGCCACAAGCGUGCCAUCUUGGUCUCGGGUUUCUUUGCUUUGCUCAAGGUUCUGUCCUUAUCCACAGGCCCAAUACUUCUUAGGGAAUUCAUCAAUGUAUCACUUGGGAAAUGCACCUUUAAAUAUGAAGGAUAUGUACUUGCUGUGGUAAUAUUUGUCUGCAAAUGCUGUGAAUCCUUCUCACAGAGACAGUGGUAUUUCCGCACCAGGAGAUUAGGACUGCAGGUGAGGUCACUCCUAUCAGCAGCAAUUUACAAGAAACAACAGAGGCUAACAAAUGCAGCAAAAAUGAAGCACUCUACUGGAGAAAUUAUGAACUAUGUGACCGUCGAUGCCUAUCGGAUUGGGGAAUUCCCAUACUGGUUCCACCAAACAUGGACAACAAUUGUUCAGCUUUGCAUUGCCCUGGCAAUUCUGUACCAUGCGGUCGGUGCUGCAAUGGUUUCGUCAUUGGUUGCCAUCAUUAUCACCGUACUCUGCAAUGCUCCAUUGGCCAAACUGCAACACAGAUUUCAGAGUAAACUUAUGGAAGCACAAGAUGAGAGAUUGAAGACCAUGUCCGAGUCACUAGUUCACAUGAAGGUCUUGAAACUUUAUGCAUAGGAAGCUCACUUCAAGAAGAUCAUCGAGGGGUUGAGGGAGGUUGAGUACAAGUGGUUGUCAGCAUUCCAGCUUAGUAGGGCGUACAACAGCUUCCUGUUCUGGGCAUCACCUGUCCUGGUUUCAGCAGUGACCUUUCUAACAUGCUAUCUUCUGAAAAUUCCUCUUGAUGCUAGCAAUGUGUUCACCUUCGUGACAACUCUACGUCUUGUGCAAGACCCAGUUAGGUCAAUACCCAAUGUAAUUGCAGUUGUGAUACAAGCUAAGGUUGCUUUCACCCGGAUAUCAAAGUUCCUUGAUGCACCUGAGCUAAACAGGCAAGUUAGGAAGAAAUACUAUGUUGGCAUUGAUUACCCUAUAGCGAUGAAUUUGUGUAUCUUCUCUUGGGAUGAAAGUACAUCAAAACCAACCCUAAAGAAUAUAAAUCUGAUAGUCAAAGCUGGAGAAAAGGUAGCAAUUUGUGGAGAGGUAGGUUCAGGAAAGUCAACGCUUUUGUCUGCUGCACUCAGAGAGGUCCCCAAAAUUGAAGGCACGGUAUGUUUCUUUACUAACAUCAUCUUUUGAUGAAAGUUUGCAAAGUUGUUAUGAAAAUUAGGCUUGGCAAUAUUUCCAACAUGAAGUACAUUAAUCAUUUUUUUCAUAACAUCCUAACAUCAAAUUCUUGAUCUUUGCAUAAACAUUUCAGAUCAAAAUCUCUGGGAAAAUAGCAUAUAUUUCUCAGAAUGCAUGGAUCCAAACAGGAACCGUGCAAGACAAUAUUCUCUUUGGAUCGUCGAUGGUCAGGGAAAGAUACAACAACACACUGGCGAGGUGCUCAUUGGUCAAGGACCUUGAAAUGUUGCCAUAUGGGGAUUGUACCCAAAUUGGGGAGAGAGGAGUAAAUCUUAGUGGUGGUCAGAAGCAGCGUGUCCAGCUUGCUCGUGCACUAUACCAAAAUGCAGACAUCUAUCUUCUUGAUGAUCCUUUCAGUGCUGUUGAUGCCCAUACAGCCACAAGUAUAUUCAAUGUAAGGAUCAUAUUCAACAGAUGCAGAUUGUAUUACUAUUUGGUUGUGAACUUCUUUACAAAGCUCUUUGUAACAGGAAUAUGUCAUGAGUGCUCUAUCAGACAAGACUGUUCUCUUGGUGACCCACCAAGUGGAUUUGUUACCUGCAUUUGACUCCAUUUUGGUACCUCUAUCCACUUCGAAAAAGUCAGCAUUUGAUGAUAUUUGUGCCUGUAUAAUUUAUAUUUGUAUGUAAUGAGCUUUAUUUAUUUGUGGAUUCGUCUAAAAUUUGCGAUGAUUUUUUGCAGUUAAUGUCAGAUGGAGAGGUUAUCCAGUGUGCACCUUAUCAAGAUUUAUUGGCAGAUUGUGAAGAAUUUAAAAACCUUGUCACAGCCCAUAAAGAUACUACUGGUGCAUCGUAUCUUAAUAACAAUAUACCACCUCAAAGAUCUAAGGAAGUAUCAAUAAAGGAGACAGACGGUAUUCAUGGAAGCGGAUAUACAGAGUCUAUGAAGCCAUCGCCGGCAGAUCAACUGAUCAAGAAAGAGGAAAGAGAAAAGGGGGAUUCAGGUGUUAAGCCUUAUAUGCUUUAUCUGUGCCAGAACAAAGGCUUCCUGUAUUUCUCCUUUUGUGUUAUUUUUCACAUAAUUUUCGUAGCUGGGCAAAUAUCACAGAAUUCAUGGAUGGCUGCUAAUGUCCAGAAUCCUCAUGUUAGUAUGCUGAAGUUAAUUUCUGUGUACAUUAUAAUUGGAGUUUGCACAAUGUUGUUCAUGCUAUCAAGAUCUUUAGUAGUCGUCGUUCUUGGGAUCCAGACAUCAAGAUCCUUAUUUCCCCAAUUGCUCAAUUCAUUGUUCCGUGCACCAAUGUCCUUUUUUGAUUCUACUCCUGUAGGAAGGGUUCUUAGCCGGGUAAGAAUUCUUAAACAAAUGGCAAAUACAACAAAGUACAAUCUGUUUUACACCCAGAGAUUUUUUUCCUGAUGGAUUAACUUGUUCUCUUUUUUCUUUUAAUGCAGGUCUCUUCAGAUUUGAAUAUCAUUGACCUCGAUCUUCCAUUUGCCUUCGUGUUUAGCCUUGGUGAUACCUUAAAUGCAUAUAGCAAUCUAGGGGUAUUGGCUGUUGCUACAUGGGAAGUUUUAUUUGUAUCUGUGCCAAUGAUAGUUUUGGCAAUUAGGUUGCAGGUAAUUGGUAUGACUUUGUUACUUUAUGGCUCUCAUUUCUGUCAUUAUUUGAUUAGAUUUACCAAUUGAUGUUCUCUGCUGCUAUUUUUGUCUGGGGUGAAUGAGCCUACAGUUUUGUAUUCAAAAUUAUCAUUAACUGAAACCUAUUAUGUUUGGUCAUGUAGAGGUACUAUCUAGCCUCGGCCAAGGAGCUGAUGCGGAUCAAUGGUACUACCAAGUCCGCUCUGGUGAAUCACUUAGGUGAAUCGAUUUCAGGGGCUAUAACAAUAAGGGCCUUUGGGGAAGAAGAUCGUUUCUUUGCUAAAAAUUUGGAUCUUAUUGACAAGAAUGCCUGUCCAUAUUUCUGUAAUUUUGCCGCAACUGAAUGGUUGAUUCAACGCCUGGAAAUAAUGAGCGCCUCCGUGCUUUCUUUUUCUGCCUUUGUCAUGGCUCUUCUUCCUCAAGGAACUUUUAGCCCUGGUAAGAAACUGUAUGAACACCAUGCUGCUUCAAUUGGACAAAAUUGAGUAGCCAGCUUGUUCUAAGGCCAUCGGUGCUUACAACUAAUUUGCGAUAAGUGUUAGAUGCAUUGCCAUGUAAAUGUUGCUACCUUUUCAUAUCUUUUGUCAUGACAGCAUACUUAUACUCCCUCCACGCCUAAAUAGAUAACAUUUUGGACAUGACAUGGGUCUCCAACAAAUUUAUUUGACUGUUACUUUUGUUAUGUGCAUGUUUGUAGAGAACUACUCCCUCCGUUCCAAAAUAUUAGUCUUUCUAGAGAUUCCAAUAGGUGACUACAUACGGAGCAAAAUGAGUGAAUCUACACUCUAAAAUAUGUCUACAUACAUCCGUAUAUUGUAGUCCUUUUGAAAUGUCUAAAAAGACUUAUAUUUCGCAACGGAGGGAGUAGAAAAAAAAUAUUAUGAAAAAAAUAUUGAUAAAGAAUAUGAUAGUACUCAAAGUUAGAAAAGCUUUACUUGCUAGUGAAGUUAGAAAUGUUUAAAUGAACACUUUUUAGAAUGUCUUGUGUUUACGAGAGGUAGUAAUGUCCAGGCAGAACACGGUGAAUAAAAAACACCAUGCGUUUCUCAAGCUACCACUUGCUCUGGUGAUUUUAUGGAUGCGUUUUUAUCUUUUAUGAAAAUGUAUUUUAAGUCCUAAUGCUUAUGUGCCGGAGUCAACUAAAUAAGUAUUUGAUGCUAUACCGUUUAUGAAUAGCACCAUUACAAAUAGUAGAAUUAAUUCAUUGCUUUCGUACAUGCACAGGUUUUGUGGGAAUGGUAUUGUCCUAUGGUCUUUCGCUAAAUGUGUCCUUUGUUUGCUCUAUUCAAAACCAAUGCAACCUUGCGAAUCAGAUAAUAUCAGUGGAACGGGUGAACCAGUACAUGGACAUACAAAGUGAAGCAACGAAAGUUAUUGAAGAAAAUCGGCCAUUGCAAGAUUGGCCCCAAGAUGGCUAUGUGGAACUUAGAGAUUUGAAGGUAAUCAAAUAUAAAUAUUUACAUGUACACCUAACAGUACUAACAAAUUUAAGCGAUUAAUUUUCAUUCAACAGAUCAGGUAUAGGAAAGAUACUCCCCUUGUACUACAUGGAAUCACUUGCAAGUUCCAAGCUGGAGAUAAGAUUGGUAUAGUUGGUCGGACAGGAAGUGGCAAGACAACGUUAAUUGGUACAUUGUUUCGUCUUAUUGAACCUGAUGAAGGGAAAAUAAUUAUAGACUCUAUGGACAUCGGUACGAUAGGGUUACAUGACCUGCGUUCGCGUUUGGGUAUCAUUCCACAAGAUCCAACACUUUUUCAUGGUACAGUAAGAUACAAUCUAGAUCCUCUUGGACAAUUCUCAGAUCAGCAAAUAUGGGAGGUAAGAUUUACCCUGCUAUCUAUGUUGAUUUUUCUCAUUUUACCCAAUGAUCAGAUAAUAUUAUGAUGAAAAGGUAUUAGAUCAAAACAACCUGCUAUAAUGUUUAAUCAUGUGACAGUCAUCUUUAGUACCGUGUCAAUUCAACUUAGUUACUUUGACAUUCUGUCCGAAAAUAUAGUGCACAUUCGAAUUUUUUUAAGUCAAAAUUUGUAAGCUUUGACCAAGUUUAUACAAAAAUUUAUCAACAUGUAAAAUACCAAAUCAAUGCCAUUGGAUUCAUCACAUAAUUUAUUUUCAUCUGGUAUAUAUUAGGUAUUGUGUGGUCAAAGUUUGUGAAGCUUGACUUUCAUGAAUUACCCGCAAAAAAAAAAA
This 12567-nucleotide long non-coding RNA is filed under the name Triticum aestivum (bread wheat). RNAcentral describes it as "long non-coding RNA (TAES_LNC014195)". The record is from RNAcentral. Lineage: Eukaryota; Viridiplantae; Streptophyta; Magnoliopsida; Poales; Poaceae.